RNAcentral lists this ribosomal RNA (425 nucleotides) under uncultured bacterium. Its description in RNAcentral is "partial 16S ribosomal RNA". It matches the Rfam family "Bacterial small subunit ribosomal RNA", at positions 354 to 796 of the family's 1533-position model. The record is from RNAcentral.
GUGGGGAAUCUUGCGCAAUGGGCGAAAGCCUGACGCAGCCAUGCCGCGUGAAUGAUGAAGGUCUUAGGAUUGUAAAAUUCUUUCACCGGGGACGAUAAUGACGGUACCCGGAGAAGAAGCCCCGGCUAACUUCGUGCCAGCAGCCGCGGUAAUACGAAGGGGGCUAGCGUUGCUCGGAAUUACUGGGCGUAAAGGGCGCGUAGGCGGAUCGUUAAGUCAGGGGUGAAAUCCCAGAGCUCAACUCUGGAACUGACCUUGAUACUGGCGAUGUUGAGUGUGAGAGAGGUAUGUGGAACUCCGAGUGUAGAGGUGAAAUUCGUAGAUAUUCGGAAGAACACCAGUGGCGAAGGCGACAUACUGGCUCAUUACUGACGCUGAGGCGCGAAAGCGUGGGGAGCAAACAGGAUUAGAUACCCGGGUAGUCC